ACGCGUAUGCAACCUACCCAUAACAGGGGGAUAACACUGAGAAAUUGGUACUAAUACCCCAUAACAUCAGGACCGGCAUCGGUUCUGGUUGAAAACUCCGGUGGUUAUGGAUGGGCAUGCGUUGUAUUAGCUGGUUGGCGAGGUAACGGCUCACCAAGGCAACGAUACAUAGGGGGACUGAGAGGUUAACCCCCCACAUUGGUACUGAGACACGGACCAAACUCCUACGGGAGGCAGCAGUGAGGAAUAUUGGUCAAUGGACGCAAGUCUGAACCAGCCAUGCCGCGUGCAGGAAGACGGCUCUAUGAGUUGUAAACUGCUUUUGUACGAGGGUAAACGCUCUUACGUGUAAGAGCCUGAAAGUAUCGUACGAAUAAGGAUCGGCUAACUCCGUGCCAGCAGCCGCGGUAAUACGGAGGAUCCAAGCGUUAUCCGGAUUUAUUGGGUUUAAAGGGUGCGUAGGCGGUUUGAUAAGUUAGAGGUGAAAUACCGGUGCUUAACACCGGAACUGCCUCUAAUACUGUUGAACUAGAGAGUAGUUGCGGUAGGCGGAAUGUAUGGUGUAGCGGUGAAAUGCUUAGAGAUCAUACAGAACACCGAUUGCGAAGGCAGCUUACCAAACUAUAUCUGACGUUGAG
Molecule: ribosomal RNA, 638 nt
Filed under: uncultured bacterium
Lineage: Bacteria
Description: bacterial SSU rRNA
Rfam family: Bacterial small subunit ribosomal RNA
Source: RNAcentral